UUUUUUUCUUCUUCUUCACUU
Molecule: small RNA, 21 nt
Filed under: Arabidopsis thaliana (thale cress)
Lineage: Eukaryota; Viridiplantae; Streptophyta; Magnoliopsida; Brassicales; Brassicaceae
Description: ATSL190610
Source: RNAcentral